MicroRNA precursor from Oryza rufipogon (brownbeard rice), 207 nucleotides. It matches the Rfam family "MIR812 microRNA precursor family". The record is from Rfam. Lineage: Eukaryota; Viridiplantae; Streptophyta; Magnoliopsida; Poales; Poaceae.
UUAAAGUGUAAUUGUGUAUUUCUGUGCCCAACAUUUGACCGUCCAUCUUAUUUGAAUUUUUUCAUGAUUACUAUUUUUAUUGUUAGUAGAUGAUAAAACAUAAAUAAUACUUUAUGCGUGACUUUGUUUUUUUAAUUUUCUCAAAAAAUUUUCAAAUAAGACGUAUGGUCAAACGUUGGUCACGGAAAUCCGCAAACUGUAUUUAAA